GGGGAUUUGGCUCAGUGGUAGAGCGCUUACCUAGCAAGCACAAGGCCCUGGGUUCAAUCCCCAGCUCCG
RNAcentral lists this transfer RNA (69 nucleotides) under Rattus norvegicus (Norway rat). It matches the Rfam family "tRNA". From Rfam's summary of the family: Transfer RNA (tRNA) molecules are approximately 80 nucleotides in length. Lineage: Eukaryota; Metazoa; Chordata; Mammalia; Rodentia; Muridae. The record is from Rfam by way of RNAcentral.